Anopheles funestus (African malaria mosquito) is the source of this 46-nucleotide non-coding RNA. Lineage: Eukaryota; Metazoa; Arthropoda; Insecta; Diptera; Culicidae. The record is from Rfam.
GAAGAGGUUCCAUUCGGAACCAUAACAAGAGCAAUAAUAGUGGAAU